CCUACGGGUGGCAGCAGUAGGGAAUCUUUCACAAUGGGCGAAAGCCUGAUGGAGCAACGCCGCGUGCAGGAUGAAGGCCUUCGGGUUGUAAACUUCUUUUAUAAGCGAGAAAUAUGAUGGUAACUUAUGAAUAAGGAUCGGCUAACUACGUGCCAGCAGCCGCGGUCAUACGUAGGAUCCGAGCAUUAUCCGGAGUGACUGGGUGUAAAGAGUUGCGUAGGUGGCAUAAUAAGUAGCUAGUGAAAUCUGGUGGCUCAACCAUUCAGACUAUUAGCUAAACUGUUAAGCUCGAGACCGUUAGGGGUAACUGGAAGUUCUAGUGUAGGAGUGAAAUCCGUAGAUAUUAGGAGGAACACCAAUAGCGUAGGCAGGUUGCUGGGACGGUUCUGACACUAAGGCACGAAAGCGUAGGGAGCAAACGGGAUUAGAUACCCGAGUAGUC
This 442-nucleotide ribosomal RNA is filed under the name uncultured bacterium. Its description in RNAcentral is "partial 16S ribosomal RNA". It matches the Rfam family "Bacterial small subunit ribosomal RNA", at positions 338 to 795 of the family's 1533-position model. The record is from RNAcentral.